GGCUGAAACUCGCCUAUAUGAAGUCGGAAUUGCUAGUAAUCGCGGAUCAGCAUGCCGCGGUGAAUACGUUCCCGGGCCUUGUACACACCGCCCGUCACACCAUGAGAGUCGAUAACACCCGAAGCCUGUAGUCUAACAGCAAUGAGGACGCAGUCGAAGGUGGGAUUGAUAAUUAGGGUGAAGUCGUAACAAGGUAGC
RNAcentral lists this ribosomal RNA (198 nucleotides) under uncultured bacterium. RNAcentral describes it as "partial 16S ribosomal RNA". It matches the Rfam family "Bacterial small subunit ribosomal RNA", at positions 1303 to 1500 of the family's 1533-position model. The record is from RNAcentral.